UACGAAGGGGGCUAGCGUUGCUCGGAAUCACUGGGCGUAAAGGGUGCGUAGGCGGGUCUUUAAGUCAGGGGGGAAAUCCUGGAGCUCAACUCCAGAACUGCCUUUGAUACUGAGGAUCUUGAGUUCGGGAGAGGUGAGUGGAACUGCGAGUGUAGAGGUGAAAUUCGUAGAUAUUCGCAAGAACACCAGUGGCGAAGGCGGCUAACUGGUCCAGAUCUGACGCUGAGGUGCGAAAGCGUGGGGAGCAAACAGG
This 253-nucleotide ribosomal RNA is filed under the name uncultured bacterium. RNAcentral's name for it is "partial 16S ribosomal RNA". It matches the Rfam family "Bacterial small subunit ribosomal RNA", at positions 524 to 776 of the family's 1533-position model. The record is from RNAcentral.